RNAcentral lists this ribosomal RNA (60 nucleotides) under Gunnera brasiliensis. RNAcentral describes it as "partial 26S ribosomal RNA". The record is from RNAcentral. Lineage: Eukaryota; Viridiplantae; Streptophyta; Magnoliopsida; Gunnerales; Gunneraceae.
AGGUCAGGCGGGACCACCCGCUGAGCUUAAGCAUAUCAAUAAGCGGAGGAAAAGAAACUU